GAUGAACGCUAGCGGCAGGCUUAACACAUGCAAGUCGAGGGGUAAAUAUAGCAAUAUAUGAGACCGGCAAACGGGUGCGGAACACGUACUGAACCUACCUUUAUCUGGGGCAUAGCCCGGAGAAAUCCGGAUUAACUCCCCAUAGUAUCAUUGGAUGGCAUCAUUUGGUGAUUAAAAAUUUAUUGGAUAAAGAUGGCAGUGCGUCCCAUUAGCUAGUUGGUAGGGUAACGGCCUACCAAGGCGACGAUGGGUAGCUGGUGUGAGAGCACGACCAGCCACACGGGCACUGAGACACGGGCCCGACUCCUACGGGAGGCAGCAGUGAGGAAUAUUGGUCAAUGGACGCAAGUCUGAACCAGCCAUGCCGCGUGAAGGAUGAAGGCCUUCUGGGUUGUAAACUUCUUUUAUGUGGGAAGAAACCUCUGAUUUCUAUUAGAGUUGACGGUACCAUAGGAAUAAGCACCGGCUAACUCCGUGCCAGCAGCCGCGGUAAU
RNAcentral lists this ribosomal RNA (494 nucleotides) under uncultured bacterium. RNAcentral describes it as "bacterial SSU rRNA". It matches the Rfam family "Bacterial small subunit ribosomal RNA", at positions 28 to 524 of the family's 1533-position model. The record is from RNAcentral.